Molecule: signal recognition particle RNA, 288 nt
Filed under: Octodon degus (degu)
Lineage: Eukaryota; Metazoa; Chordata; Mammalia; Rodentia; Octodontidae
Description: Metazoan signal recognition particle RNA (ENSODEG00000025874.1)
Rfam family: Metazoan signal recognition particle RNA
About the family: The signal recognition particle (SRP) is a universally conserved ribonucleoprotein. It is involved in the co-translational targeting of proteins to membranes. The eukaryotic SRP consists of a 300-nucleotide 7S RNA and six proteins: SRPs 72, 68, 54, 19, 14, and 9.
Source: RNAcentral
GCCGGGCGUGGUGCCAAGUGCCUGGAGUCCCAGCUACUCCGGAGGCUGAGGUGGGAGGACCGCUUGAGUCCAGGAGUUCUGGGCUGCAGUGCGCUGUGCCGAUUGGGUGUCCGCACUAAGUUUGACAUCAAUAUGGUGACCUCCCGGGAUCGGGGGACCACCAGGUGGCCUGAGGAGGGGUGAACCCACCCAGGUCGGAAACAGAGCAGGUCAAAACUCUCAUGCUGAUAAGCUUGUGUUUCUGAUUUGCAUCACUCAAUAUUAUAUUUUCCAGAUGCCUCCAUUUUU